AUUGAACGCUGGCGGCAUGCCUUACACAUGCAAGUCGAACGGUAACAGGUCUUCGGAUGCUGACGAGUGGCGAACGGGUGAGUAAUACAUCGGAACGUGCCUAGUAGUGGGGGAUAACUACUCGAAAGAGUGGCUAAUACCGCAUGAGAUCUACGGAUGAAAGCAGGGGAUCGCAAGACCUUGUGCUACUAGAGCGGCCGAUGGCAGAUUAGGUAGUCGGUGGGAUAAAAGCUUACCAAGCCGACGAUCUGUAGCUGGUCUGAGAGGACGAUCAGCCACACUGGGACUGAGACACGGCCCAGACUCCUACGGGAGGCAGCAGUGGGGAAUUUUGGACAAUGGGCGAAAGCCUGAUCCAGCAAUGCCGCGUGCAGGAUGAGGGCCUUCGGGUUGUAAACUGCUUUUGUACGGAACGAAAAGCCCCGGGUUAAUACCCUGGGGUCAUGACGGUACCGUAAGAAUAAGCACCGGCUAACUACGUGCCAGCAGCCGCAGUAA
This 498-nucleotide ribosomal RNA is filed under the name uncultured bacterium. RNAcentral's name for it is "partial 16S ribosomal RNA". It matches the Rfam family "Bacterial small subunit ribosomal RNA", at positions 30 to 523 of the family's 1533-position model. The record is from RNAcentral.